Molecule: ribosomal RNA, 1127 nt
Filed under: Salmonella enterica subsp. enterica serovar Montevideo
Lineage: Bacteria; Pseudomonadati; Pseudomonadota; Gammaproteobacteria; Enterobacterales; Enterobacteriaceae
Description: partial 23S ribosomal RNA
Rfam family: Bacterial large subunit ribosomal RNA
Source: RNAcentral
AGCCCCGUACACAAAAGCGCAUGUGCUGUGAGCUCGAUGAGUAGGGCGGGACACGUGGUAUCCUGUCUGAAUAUGGGGGGACCAUCCUCCAAGGCUAAAUACUCCUGACUGACCGAUAGUGAACCAGUACCGUGAGGGAAAGGCGAAAAGAACCCCGGCGAGGGGAGUGAAAAAGAACCUGAAACCGUGUACGUACAAGCAGUGGGAGCACCCUUUGGGGUGUGACUGCGUACCUUUUGUAUAAUGGGUCAGCGACUUAUAUUCUGUAGCAAGGUUAACCGAAUAGGGGAGCCGGAGGGAAACCGAGUCUUAAUUGGGCGUUAAGUUGCAGGGUAUAGACCCGAAACCCGGUGAUCUAGCCAUGGGCAGGUUGAAGGUUGGGUAACACUAACUGGAGGACCGAACCGACUAAUGUUGAAAAAUUAGCGGAUGACCUGUGGCUGGGGGUGAAAGGCCAAUCAAACCGGGAGAUAGCUGGUUCUCCCCGAAAGCUAUUUAGGUAGCGCCUCGUGAAUUCAUCUCCGGGGGUAGAGCACUGUUUCGGCUAGGGGGCCAUCCCGGCUUACCAACCCGAUGCAAACUGCGAAUACCGGAGAAUGUUAUCACGGGAGACACACGGCGGGUGCUAACGUCCGUCGUGAAGAGGGAAACAACCCAGACCGCCAGCUAAGGUCCCAAAGUCAUGGUUAAGUGGGAAACGAUGUGGGAAGGCCCAGACAGCCAGGAUGUUGGCUUAGAAGCAGCCAUCAUUUAAAGAAAGCGUAAUAGCUCACUGGUCGAGUCGGCCUGCGCGGAAGAUGUAACGGGGCUAAACCAUGCACCGAAGCUGCGGCAGCGACGCUGAUGCGUUGUUGGGUAGGGGAGCGUUCUGUAAGCCUGCGAAGGUGGCCUGUGAGGGUUGCUGGAGGUAUCAGAAGUGCGAAUGCUGACAUAAGUAACGAUAAAGCGGGUGAAAAGCCCGCUCGCCGGAAGACCAAGGGUUCCUGUCCAACGUUAAUCGGGGCAGGGUGAGUCGACCCCUAAGGCGAGGCCGAAAGGCGUAGUCGAUGGGAAACGGGUUAAUAUUCCCGUACUUGGUGUUACUGCGAAGGGGGGACGGAGAAGGCUAUGUUGGCCGGGCGACGGUU